This 449-nucleotide ribosomal RNA is filed under the name uncultured bacterium. RNAcentral's name for it is "partial 16S ribosomal RNA". It matches the Rfam family "Bacterial small subunit ribosomal RNA", at positions 29 to 523 of the family's 1533-position model. The record is from RNAcentral.
AAUGAACGCUGGCGGCAUGCCUAACACAUGCAAGUCGAACGAAGGCUUCGGCCUUAGUGGCGCACGGGUGCGUAACGCGUGGGAAUCUGCCCUCAGGUUCGGAAUAACAGCGAGAAAUUGCUGCUAAUACCGGAUGAUAUCGCGAGAUCAAAGAUUUAUCGCCUGAGGAUGAGCCCGCGUAGGAUUAGCUAGUUGGUGUGGUAAAGGCGCACCAAGGCGACGAUCCUUAGCUGGACUGAGAGGUUGAUCAGCCACACUGGGACUGGGAAACGGCCCAGACUCCUACGGGAGGCAGCAGUGGGGAAUAUUGGACAAUGGGCGAAAGCCUGAUCCAGCAAUGCCGCGUGAGUGAUGAAGGCCUUAGGGUUGUAAAGCUCUUUUACCCGGGAUGAUAAUGACAGUACCGGGAGAAUAAGCUCCGGCUAACUCCGUGCCAGCAGCCGCCGUAA